Molecule: ribosomal RNA, 255 nt
Filed under: uncultured fungus
Lineage: Eukaryota; Fungi
Description: partial 18S ribosomal RNA
Rfam family: Eukaryotic small subunit ribosomal RNA
Source: RNAcentral
UUGGAGGGCAAGUCUGGUGCCAGCAGCCGCGGUAAUUCCAGCUCCAAUAGCGUAUAUUAAAGUUGUUGCAGUUAAAAAGCUCGUAGUUGAACUUCAGAUCUGGCUGGGCGGUCUGCUUAACGGCAUGUACUGUCUGGCUGGGUCUUACCUCUUGGUGAGCCGGUGUGCCCUUUAUUGGAUGCAUCGGGGAACCAGGACUUUUACCUUGAGAAAAUUAGAGUGUUCAAAGCAGGCCUAUGCCCGAAUACAUUAGCA